UGCGCAGGCGGUUUGAUAAGACAGGCGUGAAAUCCCCGGGCUCAACCUGGGAACUGCGUUUGUGACUGUCUCACUAGAGUACGGCAGAGGGGGGUGGGAAUUCCACGUGUAGCAGUGAAAUGCGUAGAGAUGUGGAGGAACACCAAUGGCGAAGGCAGCCCCCUCGGGUCGAUACUGACGCUCAUGCACGAAAGCUGGGUAGCAAACA
Molecule: ribosomal RNA, 208 nt
Filed under: uncultured bacterium
Lineage: Bacteria
Description: partial 16S ribosomal RNA
Rfam family: Bacterial small subunit ribosomal RNA
Source: RNAcentral